This 402-nucleotide ribosomal RNA is filed under the name bacterium. RNAcentral describes it as "partial 16S ribosomal RNA". It matches the Rfam family "Bacterial small subunit ribosomal RNA", at positions 355 to 776 of the family's 1533-position model. The record is from RNAcentral.
UGGGGAAUUUUGCACAAUGGGGGAAACCCUGAUGCAGCGACGCCGCGUGAUUUAGAAGGCCUUCGGGUUGUAAAAAUCUUUUUUACGGGAUGAAAAUGACAGUACCGUAAGAAUAAGGUCCGGCUAAAUACGUGCCAGCAGCCGCGGUAAUACGUAUGGACCGAGCGUUGUCCGGAAUCAUUGGGCGUAAAGGGUACGUAGGCGGCCUAGUAAGUUAGAAGUGAAAUAAUAUAGCUCAACUAUAUAAAGCUUUUAAAACUGCUAGGCUUGAGAGAUGGAAGGGAAAGUGGAAUUCCUAGUGUAGCGGUGAAAUGCGCAGAUAUUAGGAAGAAUACCGGUGGCGAAGGCGACUUUCUGGUCAUCAUCUGACGCUGAGGUACGAAAGCGUGGGUGGCAAACAGG